RNAcentral lists this unclassified non-coding RNA (1061 nucleotides) under Pocillopora damicornis (cauliflower coral). Its description in RNAcentral is "leucine-rich repeat-containing protein 28-like, transcript variant X3". The record is from RNAcentral. Lineage: Eukaryota; Metazoa; Cnidaria; Anthozoa; Scleractinia; Pocilloporidae.
GGAAUCCAGCAAUUGAAAAGGCGCUAAAUUUCAUCUGCUGGUAUUCGCACAUAGGCUAACUGACACGCUUCCAUCAAUUUUGGUCAGGAAAGUUUAAUGUGUGAGUCUGUAAAUGAAGAAAUUUGGGAAGCUCAGUCCAAAGGACAUACCAAUCUCUACUUGAAUUAUCGUAAGCUUAGCGAGUUGCCUGAGGAACUUCUUAAUUUGUCCAGGAUAAAGAAACUUUACCUCAAACAAAAUGUUCUGACCAAGCUGCCUGCAGAUAUCUGGAAGCUUGAAAAUCUGGUAGAGCUAUAUAUACAUUCUAAUUACCUUCAUCACCUUCCAGAUGAGAUUGGAAAACUUCAAGUGCUUGAAAAAUUAAAUGUCAGUUUCAACCACCUUAAGAUCCUGACGCCAGCUGUCAGUCAGCUGAAAUCACUGACUUCCCUUGAACUUGCCAACAAUCAGUUGACAUUUUUACCUAAAGAGCUUGGAAAUCUCACCAAUUUGAGAGAUCUCAAUGUCAUGAACAACAAGCUUGAGUGGUUACCAUGGCAACUGUGUAACUGUUCAUCUCUCAAGAUUCUGUCAUUUGAUGGGAAUGCAGUUCAGAAGAUUCCACAUCAAUUAAUGACACAUCAAGGACUGGCUGAACUGUAUGCAAGUGGAAAUAAUUUGUGUACUUUGCCUCAAGAUUUGAAUAAACUCUCAUCGCUGGAGUCACUGAUACUGGAUCACAAUACCAAACUUCAGCUGUUACCAGCAACACUAUUGAAAAUGAAGGAUUUAAAAAUGAUUGGCUUGAGUGUGCCACUAAGGAGCUGGCCAGACUGCCAGGGAGAGAUUCUAAAGAAUUGGUGGAGGUGUUGAAUUUAAGGAAUAUUCUUCAAGGGAGCAGUGGAAGAAUCCUUCCUCUCCUUGAGUUGUGCUUCAGAAAAGUGCACUGCUUUGUUCGGUCAGUCAGUGUUGAAAAACUUUCGUCCCUUGAGCUACCAUCCCACGUGACCACGCUACUGGCUGCGCCCACAGGACACUGUUUCGUUUGUGACAGUUCUUACUUCACAGCGGUAUUCCUCCAG